AUUGAACGCUGGCGGCAGGCCUAACACAUGCAAGUCGAACGGUAGCACAGAGAGCUUGCUCUCGGGUGACGAGUGGCGGACGGGUGAGUAAUGUCUGGGAAACUGCCUGAUGGAGGGGGAUAACUACUGGAAACGGUAGCUAAUACCGCAUAACGUCGCAAGACCAAAGAGGGGGACCUUCGGGCCUCUUGCCAUCAGAUGUGCCCAGAUGGGAUUAGCUAGUAGGUGGGGUAACGGCUCACCUAGGCGACGAUCCCUAGCUGGUCUGAGAGGAUGACCAGCCACACCGGAACUGAGACACGGUCCAGACUCCUACGGGAGGCAGCAGUGGGGAAUAUUGCACAAUGGGCGCAAGCCUGAUGCAGCCAUGCCGCGUGUAUGAAGAAGGCCUUCGGGUUGUAAAGUACUUUCAGCGGGGAGGAAGGCGAUAAGGUUAAUAACCUUGUCGAUUGACGUUACCCGCAGAAGAAGCACCGGCUAACUCCGUG
RNAcentral lists this ribosomal RNA (488 nucleotides) under uncultured bacterium. Its description in RNAcentral is "partial 16S ribosomal RNA". It matches the Rfam family "Bacterial small subunit ribosomal RNA", at positions 30 to 507 of the family's 1533-position model. The record is from RNAcentral.